RNAcentral lists this long non-coding RNA (242 nucleotides) under Panax ginseng (ginseng). RNAcentral describes it as "long non-coding RNA (PGIN_LNC009119)". Lineage: Eukaryota; Viridiplantae; Streptophyta; Magnoliopsida; Apiales; Araliaceae. The record is from RNAcentral.
CCUAUUGCUUAGCACCCCGGCGCUCGUCUAUGCUUAAAUCCCAGUGCCCCGACGCUGGAUGCCUAGGUUUAAAAAUUAAAUACGUGCUCUCCCAUUUUGUUCAAACUCCUUAAACCAUUCAACUUCCUCCACCACCUAUACACGUUCUAACCGUUUCCAUUCUUUGGUAACUGACCUACUCCGUAUCACAAUAUAUAGACUGCAUACCUUUUGUGACAGCCCACUUUGAUUCAAUCACCACC